Molecule: ribosomal RNA, 634 nt
Filed under: Kocuria rosea
Lineage: Bacteria; Bacillati; Actinomycetota; Actinomycetes; Micrococcales; Micrococcaceae
Description: bacterial SSU rRNA
Rfam family: Bacterial small subunit ribosomal RNA
Source: RNAcentral
GUCGACGAUGAUGCCCAGCUUGCUGGGCGGAUUAGUGGCGAACGGGUGAGUAAUACGUGAGUAACCUGCCCUUGACUCUGGGAUAAGCCUGGGAAACUGGGUCUAAUACUGGAUACUACCUCUUACCGCAUGGUGGGUGGUGGAAAGGGUUUUACUGGUUUUGGAUGGGCUCACGGCCUAUCAGCUUGUUGGUGGGGUAAUGGCUCACCAAGGCGACGACGGGUAGCCGGCCUGAGAGGGUGACCGGCCACACUGGGACUGAGACACGGCCCAGACUCCUACGGGAGGCAGCAGUGGGGAAUAUUGCACAAUGGGCGGAAGCCUGAUGCAGCGACGCCGCGUGAGGGAUGACGGCCUUCGGGUUGUAAACCUCUUUCAGUAGGGAAGAAGCGAGAGUGACGGUACCUGCAGAAGAAGCGCCGGCUAACUACGUGCCAGCAGCCGCGGUAAUACGUAGGGCGCAAGCGUUGUCCGGAAUUAUUGGGCGUAAAGAGCUCGUAGGCGGUUUGUCGCGUCUGCUGUGAAAGCCCGGGGCUCAACCCCGGGUCUGCAGUGGGUACGGGCAGACUAGAGUGCAGUAGGGGAGACUGGAAUUCCUGGUGUAGCGGUGAAAUGCGCAGAUAUCAGGAGGAAC